UACGUAGGGUGCAAGCGUUGUCCGGAAUUAUUGGGCGUAAAGAGCUCGCAGGUGGUUUGUCGCGUCUGCCGUGAAAGCCCGGGGCUUAACCCCGGGUCGGCAGUGGAUACGGGCAGGCUAGAGGUAGGUAGGGGAGAAUGGAAUUCCCGGUGUAGCGGUGAAAUGCGCAGAUAUCGGGAGGAACACCGGUGGCGAAGGCGGUUCUCUGGGCCUUACCUGACGCUGAGGAGCGAAAGCGUGGGGAGCGAACAGG
This 253-nucleotide ribosomal RNA is filed under the name uncultured bacterium. RNAcentral's name for it is "partial 16S ribosomal RNA". It matches the Rfam family "Bacterial small subunit ribosomal RNA", at positions 524 to 776 of the family's 1533-position model. The record is from RNAcentral.